GGUCCAGUAGCUCAGUUGGAUAGAGCAACAGCCUUCUAAGCUGUGGGUCACAGGUUCGACUCCUGUCUGGAUCACUA
This 77-nucleotide transfer RNA is filed under the name Bacteroidales bacterium. RNAcentral describes it as "tRNA-Arg". It matches the Rfam family "tRNA". From Rfam's summary of the family: Transfer RNA (tRNA) molecules are approximately 80 nucleotides in length. Their secondary structure includes four short double-helical elements and three loops (D, anti-codon, and T loops). Further hydrogen bonds mediate the characteristic L-shaped molecular structure. tRNAs have two regions of fundamental functional importance: the anti-codon, which is responsible for specific mRNA codon recognition, and the 3' end, to which the tRNAs corresponding amino acid is attached (by aminoacyl-tRNA synthetases). tRNAs cope with the degeneracy of the genetic code in two manners: having more than one tRNA (with a specific anti-codon) for a particular amino acid; and 'wobble' base-pairing, i.e. permitting non-standard base-pairing at the 3rd anti-codon position. The record is from RNAcentral. Lineage: Bacteria; Pseudomonadati; Bacteroidota; Bacteroidia; Bacteroidales.